RNAcentral lists this unclassified non-coding RNA (357 nucleotides) under soil metagenome. RNAcentral's name for it is "partial contains 5.8S ribosomal RNA, internal transcribed spacer 2, and large subunit ribosomal RNA". The stretch from base 1 to 120 matches the Rfam family "5.8S ribosomal RNA", at positions 35 to 154 of the family's 154-position model. The record is from RNAcentral.
GAUGAAGAACGUAGCGAAAUGCGAUAAGUAAUGUGAAUUGCAGAAUUCAGUGAAUCAUCGAAUCUUUGAACGCACAUUGCGCCCGCUAGUAUUCUGGCGGGCAUGCCUGUUCGAGCGUCAUUUCAACCCUCAGGCCCCCAGUGCCUGGCGUUGGGGAUCGGCCGCUGGCGUCCUUCGGGGCGCCUGGCCGGCCCCGAAAUCUAGUGGCGGUCUCGCUGUAGUCCUCCUCUGCGUAGUAGCACAACCUCGCAGUUGGAGCUCGGCGGUGGCCAUGCCGUUAAACACCCCACUUCUGAAAGUUGACCUCGGAUCAGGUAGGAAUACCCGCUGAACUUAAGCAUAUCAAUAAGCGGAGGA